RNAcentral lists this ribosomal RNA (406 nucleotides) under uncultured bacterium. Its description in RNAcentral is "partial 16S ribosomal RNA". It matches the Rfam family "Bacterial small subunit ribosomal RNA", at positions 30 to 526 of the family's 1533-position model. The record is from RNAcentral.
AUUGAACGCUGGCGGCAGGCCUAACACAUGCAAGUCGAACGAGUGGCGGACGUGUGAGUAAUGUCUGGGAAACUGCCCGAUGGAGGGGGCUAACUACUGGAAACGGUAGCUAAUCCCGCAUACCAUCGGAUGUGCCCAGCUGGGAUUAGCUCGUAGGUGGGGUAACGGCUCACCUAGGCGACGAUCCCUAGCUGGUCUGAUAGGAUUACCAGCCACACUGGAACUGAGACACGGUCCAGAAUCCUACGCGAGGCAGCAGUGGUGAAUAUUGCACAAUGGGCGCAAGCCUGAUGGAGCCAUGCCGCGUGUAUGAAGAAUGCCUUCGGGUUGUAAAGUACUUUCAGCGAGGAGGCGUUACUCGCAGAAUAAGCACCGGCUAACUCCGUGCCAGCCGCCGCGGUAAUUC